UUCCGUAGGGGGAACCUGCGGAGGGAUCAUUACCGAGUUUACAACUCCCAAACCCCUGUGAACAUACCUAUACGUUGCCUCGGCGGAUCAGCCCGCGCCCCGUAAAACGGGACGGCCCGCCCGAGGACCCCUAAACUCUGUUUUUAGUGGAACUUCUGAGUAAAACAAACAAAUAAAUCAAAACUUUCAACAACGGAUCUCUUGGUUCUGGCAUCGAUGAAGAACGCAGCAAAAUGCGAUAAGUAAUGUGAAUUGCAGAAUUCAGUGAAUCAUCGAAUCUUUGAACGCACAUUGCGCCCGCCAGUAUUCUGGCGGGCAUGCCUGUUCGAGCGUCAUUUCAACCCUCAAGCUCAGCUUGGUGUUGGGACUCGCGGUAACCCGCGUUCCCCAAAUCGAUUGGCGGUCACGUCGAGCUUCCAUAGCGUAGUAAUCAUACACCUCGUUACUGGUAAUCGUCGCGGCCACGCCGUUAAACCCCAACUUCUGAAUGUUGACCUCGGAUCAGGUAGGAAUACCCGCUGAACUUAAGCAUAUCAAUAGCCGGGAGGAA
This 550-nucleotide ribosomal RNA is filed under the name Fusarium sp. BAB-4698. RNAcentral's name for it is "eukaryotic LSU rRNA". The stretch from base 182 to 335 matches the Rfam family "5.8S ribosomal RNA". The record is from RNAcentral. Lineage: Eukaryota; Fungi; Ascomycota; Sordariomycetes; Hypocreales; Nectriaceae.